GUAGGUGAACCUGCGGAGGGAUCAUCAAAGAAAAAAAAACAAUAUUUUAAACCCCAAGUGUUAGGAAAGGAGGGAAAGGGGGGGAAGAGAGAGAGCAUUGCUAUCUUUUUUUCCUUCUUCCUUCUUUUUCUAAUGCUUCAAACAAACGAUCACAACUAAAAAGAGAGAGAGAAAAUUUGGAUACCUGGUUUUUUUCGAGAGAAGAAAUAAGUGCUUGCCUGAUAAUCUGAUUAUUGGAAUUGGAAAGAGA
RNAcentral lists this unclassified non-coding RNA (250 nucleotides) under plant metagenome. Its description in RNAcentral is "partial contains small subunit ribosomal RNA, internal transcribed spacer 1, and 5.8S ribosomal RNA". The record is from RNAcentral.